RNAcentral lists this ribosomal RNA (890 nucleotides) under Clostridioides difficile. RNAcentral describes it as "partial 23S ribosomal RNA". It matches the Rfam family "Bacterial large subunit ribosomal RNA", at positions 516 to 1415 of the family's 2925-position model. Lineage: Bacteria; Bacillati; Bacillota; Clostridia; Peptostreptococcales; Peptostreptococcaceae. The record is from RNAcentral.
GAAAAGAACCCCGGGAGGGGAGUGAAAUAGAACCUGAAACCCUGCACUUACAAGCUGUGGAAGCACAUUUCUUGUGUGACCGCGUACUUUUUGUAGAACGGGCCAACGAGUUACGUUAAGUAGCAAGGUUAAGCACUUAAGGUGCGGAGCCGUAGCGAAAGCGAGUUUUAACUGAGCGUUCAGUUACUUGACGUAGACCCGAAACCGGGCGACCUACCCAUGAGCAGGAUGAAGCGAAAGUAAAAUUUCGUGGAGGUCCGAACCCACGAGCGUUGAAAAGCUCGGGGAUGACUUGUGGGUAGCGGUGAAAUUCCAAUCGAGCCCGGAGAUAGCUGGUUCUCCCCGAAAUAGCUUUAGGGCUAGCCUCAAGGUGAGAGAUACGGAGGUAGAGCACUGAAUGUCCUAGGGGGUAUUGCACCUACCGAAGACUAUCAAACUCCGAAUGCCGUCAUCUUAUACUUGGGAGUCAGACUGUGGGUGAUAAGAUUCAUAGUCGAAAGGGCAACAGCCCAGAUCGUCAGCUAAGGUCCCUAAAUGUAAGUUAAGUGGUAAAGGAUGUGGGAUUGCACAGACAACCAGGAUGUUGGCUUAGAAGCAGCCACUCAUUCAAAGAGUGCGUAAUAGCUCACUGGUCGAGUGAUCCUGCGCCGAAGAUUUCCGGGGCUAAAACUUACUACCGAAGCUACGGCAUCAGUAAUGAUGGGUAGGGGAGCUUCCCAUACGGGUUGAAGCAUGACCGUAAGGACAUGUGGACAGUAUGGGAGUGAGAAUGUUGGCAUGAGUAGCGAGAUGUGGGUGAGAAUCCCACAGGCCGUAAACCCAAGGUUUCCAGGGGAAGGUUCGUCCGCCCUGGGUUAGUCGGGACCUAAGCUGAGGCCGAAAGGCGUAGG